GGUCAGGAGAUUGAGACCAUCCUGGCUAACACGGUGAAACCCCGUCUCUACUAAAAAUACAAAAAAAUUAGCCGGGCGUGGCGGCGGGCGCCUGUAGUCCCAGCUACUUGGGAGGCUGAGGCAGGAGAAUGGUGCGAACCCGGGAGGCAGAUUUUGCAGAGAGCCGAGAUCGUGCCACUGCACUCCAGCCUGGGCGACAGAGCAAGACUCCGUCUCAAAACAAAAAACAAACAAACAAAUAUGGAGCAUUCUGAUAUGAAUAAGACACUUGCUCACUUCUCAAUUCCUUGGUGUCCAGCUCUACAAGUGUAUAUAGACUUCCAAAGAAUAUUUAAAUCCUUUAACAAAAAUGCCACCUAAGAAAAUAUGAAAUACUUCAGUCUGUCUGUCAGUGCUCACUUCCUGUCUAGAAACUUUCAGGCUCCGGCACAAAUGAACCAUGUUCUUCGCCUAAGUCAUUUAUGGAACAUCUGCUUUCGGUUUAGCAUCAGUGUGCUAUUAAUCCAGGUCUUCCAAGAAACAAAUGCCAAGAUGGUAUUAAACAUGAAAUGAUUUUAAUUGUUUACAUGCCUGAAAGUAAAUAAAGAGGGUGCCAGCUAAGGCUGAAAAAGUCUUCAGUGAUAUAAAUUUUACCACACUUAAAGAGAGAGAGGAAAAGUUUAAGUGGAAGCUCCUACUCAGCCAUGCUGUCUAAGGAAGAUUUGGCAAAACCUUGAGCUAAAGUCAGCCAACGGAAAUCCCACCUUUCUCCAAAGAAUGGAUCUGCUUUACUAUCUUGCUUGGUCUUAUUGCUUUGUGACCUAGUAAUAUCUUUCUCGAGUGCAUGAAACAUCUCAGAAAUGCAAACAUCAAGGAAGAUACUAAUCCUUUCUUCCAGUUUCUGUGUGAGGGUUGGAGGCUGACUUUGGUGGUGAUCUUGCUCCAAAUUAUAGAACUACAUCCUGUCAUGAAGAGAAGUUUGUCUUCUCGAUAAAGCCAAGUAGCUAACAGAGAUGGUCACCCCAAUUACCAGAUGGACAUAAUUAUACUUGAAUGCUGACCUACAACAUUUUGUGCUGUGCAGAGGCUUUGAAAAUCAAACAACUUUGAAAAUACAAAGCACCGCGUGGAUGGCCUCACUCUGUCGCUCAGGCUGGAGUGGCACGAUCUUGGCUCACUGCAGUCUCUGCCUCCUCCUCUUGGAUGCAAGCAAUUCGGCCUCCAAGUAGCUGAGAUUACAGAGAGGCUGAAAACUCAAGAAAUGUGGACUAAGUGUGUGGGCAAGUGUGUCACUGCUGACUAAAACUAUGAACAGACAGAGUCUUGCUCUGUCACCCAGGCUGGAGUGCAGUGGUGUGAUCUCUGCUCACUGCAACCUCUGACUCCCUGACUCAAGUGAUCCCCAACCUCACCCUCCCAAGUAGCUGGUACUACAG
This is a long non-coding RNA of Homo sapiens (human), 1415 nucleotides long. RefSeq annotates it as long independently transcribed non-coding RNA 971. The record is from RefSeq and is marked validated. NCBI's taxonomy places the organism in Eukaryota, Metazoa, Chordata, Mammalia, Primates, Hominidae.